CAUUGUGGAUGAUGAGAAUUUUAAUCAUACAGUUAUCCCUGUCUGAUUUACAAGUGCUGAAGUUUUUAUCAACUCUGACACAACA
Molecule: small nucleolar RNA, 85 nt
Organism: Malania oleifera
Lineage: Eukaryota; Viridiplantae; Streptophyta; Magnoliopsida; Santalales; Ximeniaceae
Product: small nucleolar RNA R38
Exons: 1
Source: RefSeq, a predicted model, not a curated record